CGUCUUCAGGGCGGGGUGGAAAUCCCCACCGGCGGUAGGUGCGGCAACGCACGAGCCCGCGAGCGCUUCCGUGUCGCAAGUCUCCCGCCGGGUGCCGCGCCUGCAUGCGCGGUCCGCGAGGCGGGUCCGGCAAGGGCCGCAGCCGCGGCCCUGCGAUGCGCAAGGUCAGCAGAUCCGGUCCGAUGCCGGAGCCGACGGUUACAGUCCGGAUGAAAGAAGACG
This 222-nucleotide non-coding RNA is filed under the name Xanthomonas massiliensis. RNAcentral describes it as "FMN riboswitch (RFN element)". It matches the Rfam family "FMN riboswitch aptamer (RFN element)". From Rfam's summary of the family: The RFN element is a highly conserved domain that is found frequently in the 5'-untranslated regions of prokaryotic mRNAs that encode for flavin mononucleotide (FMN) biosynthesis and transport proteins. This element is a metabolite-dependent riboswitch that directly binds FMN in the absence of proteins. Lineage: Bacteria; Pseudomonadati; Pseudomonadota; Gammaproteobacteria; Lysobacterales; Lysobacteraceae. The record is from RNAcentral.